GAUGCUAUGGAAGAUCAGAAAAUAUAAAUUUAUGAACUGCUAUAAACUGUUAUUUUCUUCGUGAAGAUCAGCCUCCCGGUUCAUCACAUGACUCAGCUAAGAGAAAAUAUCCAGUGGCUCAUCGUUACCUGUGGGAGGAGGUCUGAACUCCAUGGCUUUGCAUUCAUGUUCUUGUUUGUCUCACUUCCACCUUCAUUCCCUCCAAGUCCUCGCUGUCCUCCCAGGGUUCCUCUGCUACAGCCAGGGGAGUCUGAUCCCUGUUUCCUAAAUUUCUCUGAAGCUUAUCUACACCUAUGUUUUUGCUCCACUCUUCUUUCUCCUUUAUACACCAAUUAUUCUCCUGUUUUAUCCAAAUUAUUCCCUUCUGCAAGACUCACAUCAAGUACAAUUUCUUUC
This 396-nucleotide non-coding RNA is filed under the name Pan troglodytes (chimpanzee). Lineage: Eukaryota; Metazoa; Chordata; Mammalia; Primates; Hominidae. The record is from RNAcentral.